AUUGAACGCUGGCGGCAUGCUUUACACAUGCAAGUCGAACGGCAGCGCGGGCUUCUGGCUGGCGGCGAGUUGCGAACGGGUGAGUAAUUCAUCGGUACGUGCCCUGCAGUUGGGAAUAGCCCGGCUUAGGCCGGAUUAAUACCGCAUACGACCUGAUGUUGAAAGCGGGGGACCGAAAGGCAACGAGGGUUUGGAGCGGACGAUGUCGGAUUAGCUAGUUGGUUUGGUAAGGGCUUACCAAGGCGACGAUCCGUAGCUGGUCUGAGAGGACGACCAGCCACACUGGGACUGAGACACGGUCCAGACUCCUACGGGAGGCAGCAGUGGGGAAUCUUCCACAAUGGGCGAAAGCUUGAUCCAGCCAUGCCGCGUGCGGGAAGAAGGCCUUCGGGUUGUAAACCGCUUUUGUUAGGGAAGAAAUCAUCUGGGCUAAUCCCCCGGGGGGAUGACGGUACCGGAAGAAUAAGCACCGGCUAACUACGUG
Molecule: ribosomal RNA, 484 nt
Filed under: uncultured bacterium
Lineage: Bacteria
Description: partial 16S ribosomal RNA
Rfam family: Bacterial small subunit ribosomal RNA
Source: RNAcentral